Long non-coding RNA from Stylophora pistillata, 507 nucleotides. The record is from RefSeq and is a predicted model, not a curated record. NCBI's taxonomy places the organism in Eukaryota, Metazoa, Cnidaria, Anthozoa, Scleractinia, Pocilloporidae.
UUUCUCAGUAAUCCAACUGUGGACCCACACGUUUACCGAGUAUAACCUUCAUCGAUGUAGAGAAAUAUGCAACACGUUCAACGGGAUGUGAAAGCACUGCAAAAGUUUACAAAUAUUUUGCAGAACCAGGAUAUCUCCAUAACAUCAAAAUUACAUAUAGUGACUCGGAGGCAUUUAUUUUGGCCAAAUGCUACAAAUCGAUGAAGAAGAAUGAAACACCACAUUCCCUUCAAGAGAUAAUUGGUAUGGAUCAAACAACAGUGUCUGGAAAGUGUUCUUGUGUAGCAGGUGUCGGAGGGAUUUGUCACCAUGUUGUGGGCCUUCUUUUUUACUUGUCACACUUUAAGCAACUUGGGCUAAAGAGCUUACCUGAUGAUCUGACAUAUACUAUGAUGGCGCAGCAAUGGAAUGUUCCCAGAGGGAAACACAUAAAUCCUCAAUGUGUGGACACCUUGAUGGUGAAGAUGCCUCAGGAGGGUGCAAACUAUAAUAAAUUCAUUAAAACCA